This 660-nucleotide ribosomal RNA is filed under the name uncultured Bacteroides sp. RNAcentral's name for it is "bacterial SSU rRNA". It matches the Rfam family "Bacterial small subunit ribosomal RNA", at positions 67 to 715 of the family's 1533-position model. The record is from RNAcentral. Lineage: Bacteria; Pseudomonadati; Bacteroidota; Bacteroidia; Bacteroidales; Bacteroidaceae.
GGGCAGCAUUUUAGUUUGCUUGCAACUAAAGAUGGCGACCGGCGCACGGGUGAGUAACACGUAUCCAAUUCUGCCGAUAACUCAGGGAUAGCCUUUCGAAAGAAAGAUCAAUACCUGAUGGCAUAGGAUUAUCGCAUGAUAAUCCUAUUAAAGAAUUUCGGUUAUCGAUGGGGAUGCGUUCCAUUAGUUUGUUGGCGGGGUAACGGCCCACCAAGACUGCGAUGGAUAGGGGUUCUGAGAGGAAGGUCCCCCACAUUGGAACUGAGACACGGUCCAAACUCCUACGGGAGGCAGCAGUGAGGAAUAUUGGUCAAUGGACGAGAGUCUGAACCAGCCAAGUAGCGUGAAGGAUGACUGCCCUAUGGGUUGUAAACUUCUUUUAUACGGGAAUAAAGUGAGCCACGUGUGGCUUUUUGUAUGUACCGUAUGAAUAAGGAUCGGCUAACUCCGUGCCAGCAGCCGCGGUAAUACGGAGGAUCCGAGCGUUAUCCGGAUUUAUUGGGUUUAAAGGGAGCGUAGGCGGAAUUUUAAGUCAGUUGUGAAAGUUUGCGGCUCAACCGUAAAAUUGCAGUUGAUACUGGAAUUCUUGAGUGCGGUAAAGGCAGGCGGAAUUCGUGGUGUAGCGGUGAAAUGCUUAGAUAUCACGAAGAACUCCGAUUG